This 342-nucleotide ribosomal RNA is filed under the name uncultured Clostridium sp. RNAcentral describes it as "partial 16S ribosomal RNA". The record is from RNAcentral. Lineage: Bacteria; Bacillati; Bacillota; Clostridia; Eubacteriales; Clostridiaceae.
GGAGUCUGGGCCGUGUCUCAGUCCCAAUGUGGCCGAUCAACCUCUCAGUUCGGCUACCGAUCGAUGUCUUGGUGGGCCGUUACCUCACCAACUAACUAAUCGGACGCGAGUCCAUCCUCAAGCGAAUAAAUCCUUUGAUCACCGGAUCAUGCGGUCCAGUGAUGUUAUGCGGUAUUAGCACCGAUUUCUCGGUGUUAUUCCCCACUCAAGGGCAGGUUACUCACGUGUUACUCACCCGUCCGCCGCUAAGUUAAAAGUGGUGCAAGCACCUCUCAUAACUCCGCUCGACUUGCAUGUGUUAGGCACGCCGCCAGCGUUCAUCCUGAGCCAUGAUCAAUCUCU